RNAcentral lists this transfer RNA (96 nucleotides) under Trichoderma reesei QM6a. It matches the Rfam family "tRNA". Rfam says of the family: Transfer RNA (tRNA) molecules are approximately 80 nucleotides in length. Their secondary structure includes four short double-helical elements and three loops (D, anti-codon, and T loops). The record is from Rfam by way of RNAcentral. RNAcentral also lists the same sequence under 1 other name. Lineage: Eukaryota; Fungi; Ascomycota; Sordariomycetes; Hypocreales; Hypocreaceae.
GCCUGGUUAGCUCAAUCGGUAGAGCGUGAGACUCUUAGCAGAGAACACGUUUCUGAUGCAAUCUCAAGGUUGCGGGUUCGACCCCCGCAUCGGGCU